This 1092-nucleotide small RNA is filed under the name Oryza sativa Japonica Group (Japanese rice). Its description in RNAcentral is "sRNA Os04g0648950". Lineage: Eukaryota; Viridiplantae; Streptophyta; Magnoliopsida; Poales; Poaceae. The record is from RNAcentral.
GGGUUGGUGCGCGCCGCGCCGCGCGCUCCUGCUUGUCGGCGCGCCCGCCUGGCAGCGACCGAACGAACGAGCACACAUGACACAGCGGAGCCGGCAAAGCAGUACACGCGCGAGGCGCGGGGGGCCACCUCGCGCGCACCAGGGGCCAGGUACGCUCGUCCGCUCGCGUCGCUAGUUUAAUCGGUGGGCAUCAAACGCUGGCUGGAACCGUCCAACUGCCGGCGGGCGGGGCGGAGUCGGCAGUGGAAUUCCAGAGCACGAGCAUUAUCCACUCUGUCCCUCCUCUCAUCGCCCCGGUCGCUCUCACCGCUACUCCCCCACCACGCCCCCAAUUCCACCCCUAUCUCGCUCGCUUAUUAUAUAGCGGCACCAGAUGAGGAAUCAAUCAACUCAUGCCGCUGCACUUGUUUGUUUAUCUUUAAAGCUACUAGUAUGUGUAGCUAGGAACGGAUCCAUCCAUCCAUCGUUGCAUUCCUCGUUACUCCACCCCGUCCUUUUGUUUAUUGGGAGCCACAGAUAAGAUAGCAACGCCCUCCAUCCACCUCCCUCCCCACUUCGCUCUCUCGUCUCCGGCCGCGCGCGCAAGUCCCUGUCAACUGCUAGCCCCGCCUGCUUCGCUCACCUCACCCAACUAACCCCUCCCUCCCCUCGUCCGGAUAACAACCAAUGCCCACCAUCAACACAUCAUGAUUAUGAUAUGGCCAUGAUUGAUUGCAGCAGAGCAUCUGCUUAACACCACUACUAAUACUAGAGUAUCCAUCUCUACUGUGUCUCUGCGACUAUCACAAGGGCAGGUAGCCGGGCGGGCGGCUGGCUGGCUGGCCCGUUUUGGCUGUAAGAGCAUGUACAAUAGGAGGCUAUAAACCAGUUAUAAUCAUAUAUCGAGAAGAAAAGAGAAGAGAGAGAAGAAAGCGGGCUACAGAUUUGUAGCCGGCUGUAACACAAACUUCAAAAUGUUAUAUGUGUAUGAGAGGUGAGACCGGGUAUUAAUGGUGUAGUAUAUUUUUAUAGUUAACUAUUGUAUGAAUAAGAUAUUAGAUUGGCUAUAGAUGUUUUGGAGCUAGUAGUUGGCUAUACUAUUGAUCUUGCUCU